This 234-nucleotide ribosomal RNA is filed under the name uncultured bacterium. Its description in RNAcentral is "partial 16S ribosomal RNA". It matches the Rfam family "Bacterial small subunit ribosomal RNA", at positions 104 to 334 of the family's 1533-position model. The record is from RNAcentral.
CGGGGUGGAGUAACGCGUGGGUAACCUGCCUCAUACAGGGGGAUAACGGUUAGAAAUGACUGCUAAUACCGCAUAAGCGCACAGUACCGCAUGGUACGGUGUGAAAAACUACCGGUGGUAUGAGAUGGACCCGCGUCUGAUUAGCUAGUUGGUGAGGUAACGGCCCACCAAGGCGACGAUCAGUAGCCGACCUGAGAGGGUGACCGGCCACAUUGGGACUGAGACACGGCCCAG